CAGCCGCCGCGGUAAUACCGGCGGCCCGAGUGGCGGUCACUAUUAUUGGGCUUAAAGCGUCCGUAGCCGGGUUGGGAAAUCCUCCGGGAAAUCUGGCCGCUUAACGGUCAGAAUGCCGGAGGAUACUCCCAGCCUAGGGAGCGGGAGAGGCCGAGGGUAUUCCCGGGGUAGGGGUGAAAUCCUAUAAUCCCGGGAGGACCACCUGUGGCGAAGGCGCUCGGCUGGAACGCGUCCGACGGUGAGGGACGAAGGCCAGGGGAGCAAACCGGAUUAGAUACCCGGGUAGUCCUGGCUGUAAACGAUGCGGACUUUGUGUCGGACAAGCUAUGAGCUUGUCCGGUGCCGGAGGGAAACCGUUAAGUCCGCCGCCUGGGGAGUACGGCCGCAAGGCUGAAACUUAAAGGAAUUGGCGGG
This 414-nucleotide ribosomal RNA is filed under the name uncultured microorganism. Its description in RNAcentral is "bacterial SSU rRNA". It matches the Rfam family "Archaeal small subunit ribosomal RNA", at positions 459 to 872 of the family's 1478-position model. The record is from RNAcentral.